GUGCCAUAAACUAUCAUUCAACGACAGAAUUAUCGCUAUUUAACUAAUUUUUGUGGAAAAAACAAGCAAAAUCCGAGUAUUGAUCGGGGAGGCAACGACGAGAUUUCUGGCACACUCUCCCACCUGGUCCCCACCAUAACCUCACUCACACAAACGUACAUUUCCUUCUUCUAUACCUAUAUAUUUACACUUCGAAUGGUUGGAUUAUGUGCGUGAUGGAAACAAGAAACGACUAACCUCGUAUUAUUCGGCUAUUUGUUUUCGUCGUAACGUCAGGGGAAAGGGCCAUUCCUUAGAAACACUACGUAGUUUCCGAAGUCAAGGACAGUUUGAGGUUGUCUUUAACGAUGCUAUUUACUACGCGUGAUUUUUAGAAGCUUAUAGGUUACGUCACGUUUGUCGUUAAUUAUUUUAACAAUACAAACAUUGAAUCUUUGGAAACAUUUUUCGAUCUCUUACAAUGUUAACUUGCAUUCAACAAGCAAAACGAGUAUUUUACCUCUACAUGAGUGCUUCUCUUGUUUCUACUAUCUUUAAUAGCUCGAGAUAAGAUUGCAUUUUUGAUCUUCUGCAAGUAUGAGUGAGAUGACGUUGUUAUCGUAUAUAAGUCUAUAGAUGGUAAUGAACAAUUCGGUGCAUAUCUUUAUCAGAAUUACUGUUGAAUCACUAAUCAAGGAGACAGUGAACUAUGACACAGUACAGAAGUGCACUGGCCAAAUGAUCCUAUAUGAUCAAUUUUCGAAAAACACACAUUUCUAGAAAAUAUUAAGUAUCUAUUUUUUCCAUUGAGCGCGAAUACCAGAAUUUCGUUCUGUGAAGUCACUCUCAAGGUGGGGAGAGCAAUGGUCAGUUAAUGAAGUAAAAUCCCGGCCAGAUUACAUGGCGUAUUUCGUCAUGAAAGCUGCGUAGUUACCCGAAACAUAUGUUUGCUAGAAACGAAUUCCAUCGAUACGGUAGGACAGAAAGGUAGAUAAAAGGAGGAUAAAGAAGCUCGUUACUUUAAGACAAUUCGGAGGCAUGGUCAUAACUCUGACCCAUGUCACGCAAUAAAUAGCAUCAUGUUUGCAAACACACACGAGCUACAUAUAUGUAUAGCGUGAUACAGGUCAGCAUUCUGAGGUUAAUGAGGUUGAUCAUGGCAGGAAAAGUAACGUGACACGUUAAUCACGUGUUAAUUUUAUCGCAUUUGCUCAAUCACGUGUCACAACGACCUUCCAAAACCAACGACGCUUAUGCAAAGGGCGCGUAUUAUUGCGCAAUACAGGCUUCACGUGACAGCUGUAGCUCUAUCGAUUUUUCGUAUGCGUCUUCUGACCUAAUGCGUAGUAUCUUGCUUGAAGGGCGUAACUGAUGCAAGUUUAUUCAUGGGAAUAAGGAUCGUGGCCAAGAUCCCUACGGGUUGAAUGAUGAAAGGAAAAUUACCAGGCAACCUGGCCAUAGAAGCGGAAGCAUAAAGCUGAGCAGAUGUUCGCGAUAAAUUCACACACAACCGGGAGGGGCAAGAACAGAACCGGAAUAUGUCUAUCGACAUAUGUAUCCAGCUGGAUGCAGACCGCGCGUCUCCUAAUGUUUUCAUUACUCUCUCAGGUGCACGAAUGCGUAACAUUCUGGAAUGAUAUGGUUUCGUAGCUGCUUAACGACUCGAUAUGUACAUAUACGCAUGUAUAUAUGUGUAUAAUGUAGUCGGAUGAUGCUCGUAUGGAAUAUUAUAAAUUUAAUAGCGUUGUCUAUGCAACCGCUGAGUCGUCGGAUAUAUUAAAAAACUAGCAUAUAGUUACUGAUACUGAUCUUCGUAUGGUUUAAUGCAUUGUGACGUUCGUGGUGUUUGUGCACCUUGCUAAUUACGGAUGUUCGACAUUCAACCGUUGUUUUAUCAACCGUUGUGUCGCAUGCAAUAGUGGCCAUCUUCUUAUCGACCGAGUACACCUUUUAAUACGUUUUAACGUCGCGUCAACUACACAAAUACAUGAUAUUAGCAACGAUAAUGAGGAUUGAAAAUAGUAUGGGGUUUCAAUGUUGUUAUAUAAUAUCGUGCUUAUUAAGAAAGAGAAAAAUUUGGUUUCUGUCAUUGAGAUUUUGGAUUUUAUUUUCGUAGAAACAAAUAAUAUUAUUAACAAUAGAAGAAAUGAAUCAAUUGAAAA
Long non-coding RNA from Bombus terrestris (buff-tailed bumblebee), 2141 nucleotides. RefSeq lists it as uncharacterized. The record is from RefSeq and is a predicted model, not a curated record. The transcript is spliced from 2 exons. NCBI's taxonomy places the organism in Eukaryota, Metazoa, Arthropoda, Insecta, Hymenoptera, Apidae.